GAUGAACGCUGGCGGCGUGCCUAAUACAUGCAAGUCGAUCGCACAGAUGAGGAUCUUGCUCCUCUUACGUUAGCGGCGGACGGGUGAGUAACACGUGGAUAACCUACCUAUAAGACUGGGAUAACUUCGGGAAACCGGAUCUAAUACCGCAUAAUAUAUUCAACCGCAUGGUUCAUUAGUGAAAGACGGUUUUGCUGUCACUUAUAGAUGUAUCCGCGCCGCAUUAGCUAGUUGGUAAGGUAACGGCUUACCAAGGCAACGAUGCGUAGCCGACCUGAGAGGGUGAUCGGCCACACUGGAACUGAGACACGGUCCAGACUCCUACGGGAGGCAGCAGUAGGGAAUCUUCCGCAAUGGGCGAAAGCCUGACGGAGCAACGCCGCGUGAGUGAUGAAGGUCUUCGGAUCGUAAAACUCUGUUAUUAGGGAAGAACAAAUGUGUAAGUAACUAUGCACGUCUUGACGGUACCUAAUCAGAAAGCCACGGCUAACUACGUG
Molecule: ribosomal RNA, 497 nt
Filed under: uncultured bacterium
Lineage: Bacteria
Description: partial 16S ribosomal RNA
Rfam family: Bacterial small subunit ribosomal RNA
Source: RNAcentral